AGAUUCAGCAUAUCAAAGUACCCCAAGAAUUCAAUUUUUGUUAAAAUCAAACUAAGUUUAAUUUUGGACCCUUUGGACCUUAAUGUAGACCAAUUUAAAAAAACGGGACCCAAAAUUAAAAAUCUAAAAACACGGUUAGAUUUGGCAUAUCAAAGAACCCCAAUAAUUAAAUUUUUGAUGAAAUCAAACAAAGUUUAAUUUUGGACCCUUUUGACCUCAAUAUGAACCAAUUCGAUAGGGGGCCCACAAAUAAAAAAUCUAAAUACAUGGUAAGAUUCAGCAUAUCAAAGAACCCCAUAUAUUCAAUUUUUGUUGAAAUCAAACAAAGUUUAAUUUUGGACCCCAAUUUGGACCAACUUGAAAACUGGGCCAAAAAUCUAAAAUCUAAAUACAAGUUUAGAUUCAGCAUAUCAAAGAACCCCAUAUAUUCAAUUUUUGUUGAAAUCAAACAAAGUUUAAUUUUGGACCCCAACUUGGACCAACUUGAAAACUGGGCCCAUAAUCAAAAAUCUAAACACAUGUUUAGAUUCAGCAUAUCAAAGAACCCCAAGAAUUCAAUUUUUGUUAAAAUCAAACUAAGUUUAAUUUUGGACCCUUUGGACCUUAAUGUAGACCAAUUUAAAAAACGGGACCCAAAAUUAAAAAUCUAAAUACACGGUUAGAUUUGGCAUAUCAAAGAACCCCAAUAAUUCAAUUUUUGAUGAAAUCAAACAAAGUUUAAUUUUGGACCCUUUUGACCUCAAUAUGAACCAAUUUGAUAGCGGGGUCCACAAAUAAAAAAUAUAAAUACAUGGUUAGAUUCAGCAUAUCAAAGAACC
Mytilus californianus (California mussel) is the source of this 818-nucleotide long non-coding RNA. RefSeq lists it as uncharacterized. The transcript has 2 exons. NCBI's taxonomy places the organism in Eukaryota, Metazoa, Mollusca, Bivalvia, Mytilida, Mytilidae. The record is from RefSeq and is a predicted model, not a curated record.